Molecule: ribosomal RNA, 468 nt
Filed under: uncultured bacterium
Lineage: Bacteria
Description: partial 16S ribosomal RNA
Rfam family: Bacterial small subunit ribosomal RNA
Source: RNAcentral
GACGAACGCUGGCGGCGUGCUUAACACAUGCAAGUCGAACGGAAAGGCCCUGCUUUUGUGGGGUGCUCGAGUGGCGAACGGGUGCGUAACACGUGUGCAACCUGCCCUUGACUUUGGGAUAACUUCAGGAAACUGGGGCUAAUACCGGAUAGGAGCUCCUCCUGCAUGGAGGGGGUUGGAAAGUUUCGGCGGUUGGGGAUGGACUCGCGGCUUAUCAGCUUGUUGGUGGGGGAGUGGCUUACCAAGGCUUUGGCGGGUAGCCGGCCUGUGAGGGUGACCGGCCACAAUGGGACUGAGAUACGGCCCAGUGUCCUACGGGAGGCAGCAGUGGGGAAUAUUGCACAGUGGGCGGAAGCCUGAUGCAGCAACGCCGCGUGCGGGAUGACGGCCUUCGGGUUAUAAACCGCUUUCGCCUGUGACGAAGCGUGAGUGACGGUAAUGGGUAAAGAAGCACCGGCUAACUACGUG